Molecule: long non-coding RNA, 204 nt
Organism: Sinocyclocheilus grahami
Lineage: Eukaryota; Metazoa; Chordata; Actinopteri; Cypriniformes; Cyprinidae
Exons: 3
Source: RefSeq, a predicted model, not a curated record
GACCGACCGACUGACCUGUUCAGGGAAUUGUGGCGGCGGAGUCAAAAGAGACUUGUUUCUCCAGACAUGAAAGGUUUCUGAGAUCAAGCACCAUGAAAAUGAAAAGCACUCUGUCUGUAGAUUCGGGUCUGACAGCAAGCAGGUGUCUCAAUUAGAAGAGCAUCAUUAAGAAGUGUUUUAUAGCUUGAACAGUAUGGGCCGAGU